ACGCUAGCUAUAGGCUUAACACAUGCAAGUCGAGGGGAAACGGCAUUAUGUGCUUGCACAUUUUGGACGUCGACCGGCGCACGGGUGAGUAUCGCGUAUCCAACCUUCCCUCCACUCGGGGAUACCCCGUUGAAAGACGGCCUAAUACCCGAUGUUGUCCACAUAUGGCAUCUGACGUGGACCAAAGAUUCAUCGGUGGAGGAUGGGGAUGCGUCUGAUUAGCUUGUUGGUGCGGGUAACGGCCCACCAAGGCUACGAUCAGUAGGGGUUCUGAGAGGAAGGUCCCCCACAUUGGAACUGAGACACGGUCCAAACUCCUACGGGAGGCAGCAGUGAGGAAUAUUGGUCAAUGGACGUAAGUCUGAACCAGCCAAGUAGCGUGCAGGAUUGACGGCCCUAUGGGUUGUAAACUGCUUUUGUUGGGGAGUAAAGUGAGGCACGCGUGCCUUUUGCAUUUACCCUUCGAAUAAGGACCGGCUAAUUCCGUGCCAGCAGCCGCGGUAAUACGGAAGGUCCAGGCGUUAUCCGGAUUUAUUGGGUUUAAAGGGAGUGUAGGCGGUCUGUUAAGCGUGUUGUGAAAUUUAGGUGCUCAACAUCUACCUUGCAGCGCGAACUGGCGGACUUGAGUGCACGCAACGUAUGCGGAAUUCAUGGUGUAGCGGUGAAAUGCUUAGAUAUCAUGACGAACUCCGAUUGCGAAGGCAGCGUACGGGAGUGUUACUGACGCUUAAGCUCGAAGGUGCGGGUAUCGAACAGGAUUAGAUACCCUGGUAGUCCGCACGGUAAACGAUGGAUGCCCGCUGUUAGCGCCUGGCGUUAGCGGCUAAGCGAAAGCAUUAAGCAUCCCACCUGGGGAGUACGCCGGCAACGGUGAAACUCAAAGGAAUUGACGGGGGCCCGCACAAGC
RNAcentral lists this ribosomal RNA (907 nucleotides) under uncultured bacterium. RNAcentral's name for it is "bacterial SSU rRNA". It matches the Rfam family "Bacterial small subunit ribosomal RNA", at positions 33 to 930 of the family's 1533-position model. The record is from RNAcentral.